Molecule: ribosomal RNA, 497 nt
Filed under: uncultured bacterium
Lineage: Bacteria
Description: partial 16S ribosomal RNA
Rfam family: Bacterial small subunit ribosomal RNA
Source: RNAcentral
GAUGAACGCUGGCGGCGUGCCUAAUACAUGCAAGUCGGGCGAACAGACGAGGAGCUUGCUCCUCUGACGUUAGCGGCGGACGGGUGAGUAACACGUGGAUAACCUACCUAUAAGACUGGGAUAACUUCGGGAAACCGGAGCUAAUACCGGAUAAUAUAUUGAACCGCAUGGUUCAAUAGUGAAAGACGGUUUUGCUGUCACUUAUAGAUGGAUCCGCGCCGCAUUAGCUAGUUGGUAAGGUAACGGCUUACCAAGGCAACGAUGCGUAGCCGACCUGAGAGGGUGAUCGGCCACACUGGAACUGAGACACGGUCCAGACUCCUACGGGAGGCAGCAGUAGGGAAUCUUCCGCAAAGGGCGAAAGCCUGACGGAGCAACGCCGCGUGAGUGAUGAAGGUCUUCGGAUCGUAAAACUCUGUUAUUAGGGAAGAACAAAUGUGUAAGUAACUAUGCACGUCUUGACGGUACCUAAUCAGAAAGCCACGGCUAACUACGUG